RNAcentral lists this ribosomal RNA (774 nucleotides) under uncultured Neocallimastigales. RNAcentral describes it as "partial large subunit ribosomal RNA". It matches the Rfam family "Eukaryotic large subunit ribosomal RNA", at positions 22 to 647 of the family's 3401-position model. The record is from RNAcentral. Lineage: Eukaryota; Fungi; Neocallimastigomycota; Neocallimastigomycetes; Neocallimastigales.
GUACACGCUGUGACUAGCAUAUCAAUAAGCGGAGGAAAAGAAACUAACAAGGAUUCCCCUAGUAACGGCGAGUGAAGCGGGAAGAGCUCAAAUUUGAAAUCUUAAAGGGUUUCCCUUUACGAAUUGUAGUUUAAAGAAGUGUUUUCUGUUGAGGUUUUGGUAAAAGUUCUUUGGAAUAGGACAUCAUAGAGGGUGAGAAUCCCGUAUUUGACCUUUACUUUCAACUUUGUGAUACACUUUCAAAGAGUCGGAUUGUUUGGGAAUGCAGUCCAAAAUGGGUGGUAAAUUUCAUCUAAAGCUAAAUAUUGGCGAGAGACCGAUAGCGAACAAGUACCGUGAGGGAAAGAUGAAAAGAACUUUGAAAAGAGAGUUAAACAGUACGUGAAAUUGUCAAAAGGGAAGCGUUUGACACCAGUGUUGUUUUUCUGAAAAUCAAUUAAAGAACUGUUUAUGCUAAGUUGUUUAGACUUUAUCAGCUAUCUGCUUAGUUUUGAGCUUUUCUUUAAUGCACUUUUCAGUUAACAAGUCAACAUCAAUUUCUUUUGCUGUAAAAAAGCUUGAGGAAGGUGGCUUGAGAUUCGUCUUAAGUGUUUAUAGCCUCUUGCCUAUGCAGUCGGAGAGAUUGAGGUCUGCAGCGUAGAUCCUUCGGGGCUAAAUGCAUUUGUGCUAAGUUAUAGCAUUUUAUAGACAACUUGUUGACUAUGAUUUGUCUUGUAGCUUACUCGCUUAUGUUAUUUUACCUACGCUUAGGAUGUUGACGAGACUGUCGAUCUC